GUUUAGCAAGGUUGGGUUUAGGAUACUAGAAAAAAUAGAAUUAUUGUAAUUGUUAACAUACUAAAGCAAAUGUGGAGACUCAAAACCCCAAUUAAAUUGUUACUUUUCCAAGGUAUAUUGAAACCCAGCUUCAGGGACGACUAAAUAAACAACAUGACAGGUUUCUCCAGGACAAAAGGCUUCUCUAACAGUCAUGGAACUUUUGUGGCACAGAAUGGGACAAAGCUUCACCAGCACUUGGGAGUUCGGCUGGGCUGUGUACAAAGUUCUAAUACCCAUGACUCACUGCAAGAGAAGAAUUUAUAAUUCUUUAGCAGGAAAGCAUUAUCCACACCAAACUUUUUGGGGUGGAUCAUGACCACAGCCUCACAAUCCCCCAAGAUGUAGAGACUCCAUAAAUUGGUAUCACUAUUACAGCGAUUGCAGUCCCAGGAAAAAGAAUCGCUGCAUCCUAUCCAGAAAGACGAGAGCAAGUCAGCACCAGAUACAAAGGAUCUACAAAUCUGUACUUAUAUUAAAUGCAAUAAUACUGAAUCGUGUGUGUGUUGGCAUUUCAAAAUGGGUGAAGGAAGAAGA
This is a long non-coding RNA of Dromiciops gliroides (monito del monte), 576 nucleotides long. RefSeq lists it as uncharacterized. The record is from RefSeq and is a predicted model, not a curated record. NCBI's taxonomy places the organism in Eukaryota, Metazoa, Chordata, Mammalia, Microbiotheria, Microbiotheriidae. The transcript is spliced from 3 exons.